GAUGAACGCUGGCGGCGUGCCUAAUACAUGCAAGUAGAACGCUGAAGGAGGAGCUUGCUCUUAUGGAUGAGUUGCGCACGGGUGAGUAACGCGUAGGUAACCUGCCUGGUAGCGGGGGAAAACUAUUGGAAACGAUAGCAAAUACCGCAUGACAACAGUUAUUGCAUGAUAACUGUUUAAAAGGGGCAACUGCUCUACUACCAGAUGGACUUGCGUUGUAUUAGCUAGUUGGUGGGGUAACGGCUCACCAAGGCGACGAUACAUAGCCGACCUGAGAGGGUGAUCGCCCACACGGGGACGGGGACACGGCCCAGACGCCUACGAGAGGCAGCAGUAGGGAAUCGUCGGCAAUAGACGGAAGUCUGACCGAGCAACGCCGCGUGAGUGAAGAAGGUUUUCGGAUCGUAAAGCUCGGUUGUAAGAGAAGAACGAGUGUGGGAGUGGAAAGUUCACACUGUGACGGUACCUUACCAGAAAGGGACGGCUAACUACGUG
This 495-nucleotide ribosomal RNA is filed under the name uncultured bacterium. Its description in RNAcentral is "partial 16S ribosomal RNA". It matches the Rfam family "Bacterial small subunit ribosomal RNA", at positions 28 to 507 of the family's 1533-position model. The record is from RNAcentral.